RNAcentral lists this ribosomal RNA (96 nucleotides) under uncultured bacterium. Its description in RNAcentral is "partial 16S ribosomal RNA". It matches the Rfam family "Bacterial small subunit ribosomal RNA", at positions 1386 to 1482 of the family's 1533-position model. The record is from RNAcentral.
CACACCGCCCGUCACACCAUGGGAGUGGGGUUCACCAGAAGCCGGUUGCCUAACCGCAAGGAGGGCGCUGACCACGGUGAGCUUCAUGACUGGGUG